AUUGAACGCUGGCGGCAUGCCUUACACAUGCAAGUCGAACGGUAACGGGCCUUCGGGUGCCGACGAGUGGCGAACGGGUGAGUAAUGCAUCGGGAACGUACCUUUCAGUGGGGGAUAACGUAGCGAAAGUUACGCUAAUACCGCAUAUUCUGUGAGCAGGAAAGCAGGGGAUCGCAAGACCUUGCGCUGAUUGAGCGGCCGAUGUCAGAUUAGCUAGUUGGUGAGGUAAAGGCUCACCAAGGCGACGAUCUGUAGCGGGUCUGAGAGGAUGAUCCGCCACACUGGAACUGAGACACGGUCCAGACUCCUACGGGAGGCAGCAGUGGGGAAUUUUGGACAAUGGGGGCAACCCUGAUCCAGCCAUGCCGCGUGAGUGAAGAAGGCCUCGGUUGU
RNAcentral lists this ribosomal RNA (393 nucleotides) under uncultured bacterium. RNAcentral's name for it is "bacterial SSU rRNA". It matches the Rfam family "Bacterial small subunit ribosomal RNA", at positions 30 to 426 of the family's 1533-position model. The record is from RNAcentral.